GAUGAACGCUGGCGGCGUGCCUAAUACAUGCAAGUCGAGCGAACAGACGAGGAGCUUGCUCCUCUGACGUUGGCGGCGGACGGGAGAGUACCACGUGGAUAACCUACCUAUAAGACUGGGAUAACUAUGGGAAAUCGGAGCUAAUACCGGAUAAUAUAUUGAACCGGAUGGUUCAAUAGUGAAAGACGGUUUUGCUGUCGCUAAUAGAUGGAUACGCGCCGCAUUAGCUAGUUGGUGAGGUAACGGCUUACCAAGGCAACGAUGCGUAGCCGACCUGAGAGGGUGAUCGGCCACACUGGAACUGAGACACGGCCCAGACUCCUACGGGAGGCAGCAGUAGGGAAUCUUCCGCGAUGGGCGAAAGCUUGACGGAGCAACGCCGCGUGAAGGAUGAAGGUCUUCGGAUCGUAAAACGCUGUUAUUAGGGAAGAACAAAUGUGUAAGUAACCAUGCACGUAUUGACGGUACCGAAACAAAAAGCCACGGCUAACUACGUG
RNAcentral lists this ribosomal RNA (497 nucleotides) under uncultured bacterium. Its description in RNAcentral is "partial 16S ribosomal RNA". It matches the Rfam family "Bacterial small subunit ribosomal RNA", at positions 28 to 507 of the family's 1533-position model. The record is from RNAcentral.